Molecule: ribosomal RNA, 502 nt
Filed under: uncultured bacterium
Lineage: Bacteria
Description: partial 16S ribosomal RNA
Rfam family: Bacterial small subunit ribosomal RNA
Source: RNAcentral
GACGAACGCUGGCGGCGUGCUUAACACAUGCAAGUCGAACGGUGAAGGGGUCUGCUUUUGUGGGCCCUGGAUGAGUGGCGAACGGGUGAGUAACACGUGAGUAACCUGCCCCCUUCUUCUGGAUAACCGCAUGAAAGUGUGGCUAAUACGGGAUAUUCUGGGUCUGUCGCAUGAUGGGUCUGGGAAAGAUUGCGCCUUUGGGUGUUUUUGGUGGGGGAUGGGCUCGCGGCCUAUCAGCUUGUUGGUGGGGUGAUGGCCUACCAAGGCGGUGACGGGUAGCCGGCCUGAGAGGGUGGACGGUCACACUGGGACUGAGACACGGCCCAGACUCCUACGGGAGGCAGCAGUGGGGAAUAUUGCACAAUGGGCGCAAGCCUGAUGCAGCGACGCCGCGUGAGGUAUGGAGGCCUUCGGGUUGUAAACCUCUUUCGCCAGUGAAGCAGGCCUGCUCCUUGUGGGUGGGUUGACGGUAGCUGGAUAAGAAGCGCCGGCUAACUACGUG